UAAAGCGUACGUAGGCGGUUUACUAAGUCAGAUGUGAAAGCCCCGGGCUUAACCUGGGAACUGCAUUUGAUACUGGUAGGCUAGAGUAUGGUAGAGGGGGGUAGAAUUCAUAGUGUAGCGGUGAAAUGCGUAGAUAUUAUGAGGAAUACCAGUGGCGAAGGCGGCCCCCUGGACCAAUACUGACGCUGAGGUACGAAAGCGUGGGUAGCGAACAGGAUUAGAUACCCUGGUAGUCCACGCCGUAAACGAUGUCAACUAGCCGUUGGGACCUUGAGGUCUCAGUGGUGCAGCUAACGCGUGAAGUUGACCGCCUGGGGAGUACGGCCGCAAGGCUAAAACUCAAAUGAAUUGACGGGGGCCCGCACAAGCGGUGGAGCAUGUGGUUUAAUUCGAUGCAACGCGAAGAACCUUACCUACCCUUGACAUUGACAGAAUCCAGUAGAGAUACAGGAGUGCCUUCGGGCCUGGAAAACAGGUGCUGCAUGGCUGUCGUCAGCUCGUGUCGUGAGAUGUUGGGUUAAGUCCCGCAACGAGCGCAACCCUUAUCCUUAGUUGCCAGC
RNAcentral lists this ribosomal RNA (560 nucleotides) under uncultured Gammaproteobacteria bacterium. RNAcentral describes it as "bacterial SSU rRNA". It matches the Rfam family "Bacterial small subunit ribosomal RNA", at positions 561 to 1122 of the family's 1533-position model. Lineage: Bacteria; Pseudomonadati; Pseudomonadota; Gammaproteobacteria. The record is from RNAcentral.